This 467-nucleotide ribosomal RNA is filed under the name uncultured bacterium. RNAcentral's name for it is "partial 16S ribosomal RNA". It matches the Rfam family "Bacterial small subunit ribosomal RNA", at positions 28 to 506 of the family's 1533-position model. The record is from RNAcentral.
GACGAACGCUGGCGGCGUGCUUAACACAUGCAAGUCGAACGGAAAGGCCCUGCUUUUGUGGGGUGCUCGAGUGGCGAACGGGUGAGUAACACGUGAGUAACCUGCCCUUGACUUUGGGAUAUCUUCAGGAAACUGGGGCUAAUACCGGAUAGGAGCUCCUGCUGCAUGGUGGGGGUUGGAAAGUUUCGGCGGUUGGGGAUGGACUCGCGGCUUAUCAGCUUGUUGGUGGGGGAGUGGCUUACCAAGGCUUUGACGGAUAGCCGGCCUGGGAGGGUGACCGGCCACAUUGGGACUGAGAGACGGCCCAGACUGCUACGGGAGGCAGGAGGGGGGAGUAUAGCACAGAGAGCGGAAGCCAGAGGGAGCAACGCCGCGUGCGGGAUGACGGCCUUCGGGUGGUAAACAGAUUUCGCCUGUGACGAAGCGUGAGUGACGGUAAUGAGUAAAGAAGCACCGGCUAGCUACGU